ACACGGUCAAUGACUUAGUAGCGGCGAGUGAGCGGCUUAGCUCAUAUUUGAAAUCUGCCAACAGGCCGAGUUGUAAUUUGAAGAAAGCAAUUCUGGAUGUGUCUUUGCUCCCGCUCCUUGGAAUACAACAUCAUGGAGGGUGAGAAUCCCGUGAUGCGAAGGUAGCAUAUCUAUGUAGAAUGUUUUCGACGAGUCGAGUUGUUUGGGAAUGCAGCUCAAAGUGGGUGGUAAAUUCCAUCUAAAGCUAAAUAUUGGCGAGAGACCGAUAGCGAACAAGUACUGUGAAGGAAAGAUGAAAAGAACUUUGAAAAGAGAGUGAAAAAGUACGUGAAAUUGUUGAAAUGGAAGGGCUUGAGAUUAGACAUGGUGUUUAGUGUUCCGCUUUCUUUUGGGAAUGUGUACUCGCUUUACACCGGGCCAGCAUCAGUUUUGAUGGGAGGAUAAAUGGUAUUGAAUGUGGCUGCUUGCAGUGUUAUAGCUUUAUCAAAUACUUCCAAUCGGGACUGAGGACCGCGCAUUUGCUAGGAUGCUGGCGUAAUGAUCUUAAGCCACCCGUCUUGAACAACGGAUCUUGG
RNAcentral lists this ribosomal RNA (575 nucleotides) under Wickerhamiella sorbophila. RNAcentral's name for it is "eukaryotic LSU rRNA". It matches the Rfam family "Eukaryotic large subunit ribosomal RNA", at positions 68 to 671 of the family's 3401-position model. Lineage: Eukaryota; Fungi; Ascomycota; Dipodascomycetes; Dipodascales; Trichomonascaceae. The record is from RNAcentral.